This 253-nucleotide ribosomal RNA is filed under the name uncultured bacterium. RNAcentral's name for it is "partial 16S ribosomal RNA". It matches the Rfam family "Bacterial small subunit ribosomal RNA", at positions 524 to 776 of the family's 1533-position model. The record is from RNAcentral.
UACGGAGGGGGCUAGCGUUGUUCGGAAUUACUGGGCGUAAAGCGCACGUAGGCGGCCUUGUAAGAUGGGGGUGAAAUCCCCGGGCUCAACCCGGGAACUGCCUUCAUGACUGCAAAGCUUGAGGAUGCGAGAGGUUAGCGGAAUUCCGAGUGUAGAGGUGAAAUUCGUAGAUAUUCGGAAGAACACCAGUGGCGAAGGCGGCUAACUGGCGCAUUUCUGACGCUGAGGUGCGAAAGCGUGGGGAGCAAACAGG